This 1413-nucleotide long non-coding RNA is filed under the name Marmota monax (woodchuck). The record is from RNAcentral. Lineage: Eukaryota; Metazoa; Chordata; Mammalia; Rodentia; Sciuridae.
GGGAGAUUGAUUUAGCCUGUGAUGCAGCAGCGCCAGUGGCCGCAGACCUGGGCGGGGAACCUUUUCCAGAAAGCCCUUUCCCUACGCUCCCUGAUGCGGUCCGAGCGGGCUGCCAGGCCCAUGCGUUCCCAGAGCAGGCCCACCUGAACCGCCCUCGCCCACAGCGUCGCUGCUGAAGCUGUGGUACCGGGAACUGGAGGAGCCCCUGAUCCCGCACGAGUUCUACGAGCAGUGCAUCGCUCACUAUGAGAGUCCCGAGGCCGCCGUGGCCGUGGUGCACGCGCUGCCUCGCAUCAAUCGCAUGGUGCUGUGCUACCUCAUCCGCUUCCUUCAGGUACCCGCGCCUUGCCCCGCCCGCGUCCCCGCGUCCCCGCGCCCCCUGCCUGCUCCCCGGCCCUGUGCUCCACCCACCGCGCCCCGCGCCCCCGGCCUCUGGUCCGCCCGCCACGCCCUCCGCUCCUCCCCUCCGCAGGUGUUCGUGCAGCCUGCCAACGUGGCCAUCACCAAGAUGGACGUCAGCAACCUGGCCAUGGUGAUGGCGCCCAACUGCCUGCGCUGCCAGUCGGAUGACCCGCGCGUCAUCUUCGAGAACACACGCAAGGAGAUGUCCUUCCUGCGCGUACUCAUCCAGCACCUGGACACCAGCUUUAUGGAGGGCGUGCUAUAGCACGCGGGCACCACGGACGGCGGGCUGCGCGGCGCACGCGGGAGCGGGGGCCCCGCCGGGGCAGCAUGCCAGGCCCCGCCGGCCCCGAGAAGUGCCUUCUGUUCCCCGGAGCCGAGCGACACUGCCCUCCCGGCUGGCCGCGGCCCACGCCGCGCGGCCUCUCCGCUCCAGAGCCCCGGCUGCCCGCCGCCAGGCCGCGGUUCUCCUGCGCGGGGAGGGCCCCGAACCAAAGUCCUCGCGGCGGGCAGGGCCGGGCAGGCACUCUUGGGGCGGGGGGAGAGUAUUUUUUUCGUGGUGUACCUACGAGUCCAGAUUCCAUCCCGCACCCCGCCCUCUUGUGCAUAGAGAUAUAAAUAGAGCGACAGACGUCGGGACUAAAUUUGCUAAGGACAUAGUUCUAACCAGAUGCUAUUUAUCUCUGAGCCGUCCUCACCGCCCUCGUGCAGAGCACUCGCACCCUCCUUCCUUACCCGCAGCUCCCGACCCAACCCCGCGCCGCGCGGCGGCUGGGCCGGACUCGCCUGCGUUCCCGUUAUGGAAUCAGUUCCAACUGUUGUCAAACUUAAUUUCUCCCGGUUUUUAUAUAUAUAUUUUUUAGAGUUGAGUUUUUAUUUAUUAUUAAAACAAAACAGCCAGCCCUGCCGAGCCGGCCCCUGAGCGGGCCACAGACGUGCUCUGACACGUGGACCGAGGGACCGCUUUUCGUGUGAAUAAAGUUCGUGUGGACACUCGCGCGCCGCUUCGGG